UGAGUAUUAAAUGUAUAAUUUUUAGAAGAUUCAAGUUCUUCAUUUUUACUUUUUUCCAGAAGUAAUAAAAAC
Molecule: transfer RNA, 72 nt
Filed under: Anadara broughtonii
Lineage: Eukaryota; Metazoa; Mollusca; Bivalvia; Arcoida; Arcidae
Description: Scapharca broughtonii tRNA-Leu
Source: RNAcentral